GACGAACGCUGGCGGCGUGCUUAACACAUGCAAGUCGAACGAAGAGCGAUGGAAGCUUGCUUCUAUCAAUCUUAGUGGCGAACGGGUGAGUAACGCGUAAUCAACCUGCCCUUCAGAGGGGGACAACAGUUGGAAACGACUGCUAAUACCGCAUACGAUCUAACCUCGGCAUCGAGGAUGGAUGAAAGGUGGCCUCUAUGUAUAAGCUAUCACUGAAGGAGGGGAUUGCGUCUGAUUAGCUAGUUGGAGGGGUAACGGCCCACCAAGGCGAUGAUCAGUAGCCGGUCUGAGAGGAUGAACGGCCACAUUGGGACUGAGACACGGCCCAGACUCCUACGGGAGGCAGCAGUGGGGAAUCUUCCGCAAUGGACGAAAGUCUGACGGAGCAACGCCGCGUGAGUGAUGACCGGCUUCGGGUUGUAAAGCUCUGUUAAUCGGGACGAAAGGCCUUCUUGCGAAUAGUUAGAAGGAUUGAC
Molecule: ribosomal RNA, 476 nt
Filed under: Veillonella parvula
Lineage: Bacteria; Bacillati; Bacillota; Negativicutes; Veillonellales; Veillonellaceae
Description: bacterial SSU rRNA
Rfam family: Bacterial small subunit ribosomal RNA
Source: RNAcentral